AAUAGAUACCCAGGUAGUCCAUGCCGUAAACGGUGGGCGCUAGGUGUGAGGGUCUUUCUACGACUUUCGUGCCGUAGCUAACGCAUUAAGCGCCCCGCCUGGGGAGUACGGCCGCAAGGCUAAAACUCAAAGGAAUUGACGGGGGCCCGCACAAGCGGCGGAGCAUGUGGAUUAAUUCGAUGCAGCGCGAAGAACCUUACCUGGGCUUGACAUACAUCGGAUCGCUGCAGAGAUGUAGUUUCCCUUUGUGGUUGGUGUACAGGUGGUGCAUGGUUGUCGUCAGCUCGUGUCGUGAGAUGUUGGGUUAAGUCCCACAACGAGCGCAACCCUUGUCUUAUGUUGCCAGCAUUUGGUUGGGGACUCAUGAGAGACUGCCGGGGUUAACUCGGAGGAAGGUGGGGAUGACGUCAAAUCAUUAUGCCCCUUAUGUCCAGGGCUUCACACAUGCUACAAUGGUCGGUACAACGCGCUGCGACACUGUGAGGUGGAGCGAAUCGCUGAAAGCCGGCCUUAGUUCGGAUUGGGGU
RNAcentral lists this ribosomal RNA (527 nucleotides) under uncultured bacterium. RNAcentral's name for it is "bacterial SSU rRNA". It matches the Rfam family "Bacterial small subunit ribosomal RNA", at positions 777 to 1304 of the family's 1533-position model. The record is from RNAcentral.